This is a long non-coding RNA of Catharus ustulatus (Swainson's thrush), 3280 nucleotides long. RefSeq lists it as uncharacterized. Lineage: Eukaryota; Metazoa; Chordata; Aves; Passeriformes; Turdidae. The record is from RefSeq and is a predicted model, not a curated record. The transcript is spliced from 4 exons.
GCUCUACAAAUCUCUAAGGAAGGUCUCUGUGAGACAGUCAAGGGGCAAGAAAUAAUUUCAUCCCUUUGACCUCAGGAUUUAGUGAUAAUGGUUGAUAAUCCCUUUUCUAGGGGGCAACCACAUGGAAUUAGUGAGUGUUUUUCCAUCUUCCUGUAGAAGAUGCUGAGGAUUUCCCUCAGUGGUGGAAUGCACCAUUCUCUGUGAGCUGUGAAUGUUUGUGUUGGGGGCAGUGUUUUUGACUGCACUGGGUCCCGACAUUGGAGAGAUUCCUUUCUCUCAAAGCAGGAUUGAGAUGCAUGUUUCUGCUCUGUACUUAUUCCUGAUCCCUGGAGCAAAGGCUGUACUUAUCUCGGCAGGACAAGAGAAGCAGGGAUAGAAGUAGGCAACAUUCCUUCUCUUCUCCCUUCCCCAGCCUUCCUCCUUUUAGCUAAUGCAGAGCAAAGUGCUGAGUGAGGUUCUCCCUGAGAAAGAGUUGCUGAGUGAUGAGGGAAUGAGCUCCAAAAAGCUUUAAAAGUGGCUUUUUAAUUGUUUUUUAUUGGGGGAUUCAAAUAAUGCCAUCACAAAUCAAAAUACAGCAGACUGGAAGCAAGACAAGGUCGUGGCAUGUGGCAGCUCAAAGACUUGUGCUAAUGACAGAUACAGUUACAAUGCUUGUGAGUUCAUGGACCGUCUCCUUUGGGAAAUGUCAGGCUUUUUGCUUUGUAUUUCAAAUCACAUGCAGAGAUAGUAAUACAAAAAAAAGUCUUGAAAAAAGUUCUUCAGAACUUGCUGCAGUUUAUGGUUAGGUCUCCAAGUAAAGGUGCUGCAACCAUACUGACUUUGGUGGACAAGGAGUGUAGUGAGAAUGACAGAAAUAAGGGAUAAGUGUGUGUCCUUGGGUGAGGCAUUAGCAUUUUGUACUCCUAGCUGAGCAGGCAGUACGUGGAUGUUGCCUAACCUUGAUCCUUUGGAGAGCUUUCUAGCAGGAGUUACUGGGCAUCUCCCAAAGGAAGUGGAGCAGUUCUGAGUGCCUGAGGGCCUCGAACAUCCCUUGAGCUGAGAGAGAGAGGCUGGUUUUUAAGUUUUAUGGGCAAAAUGGGGUGUUGGAAUUGGCUUUAGUUACAUCACAAUUUCUUGAUACUUUUAGUUAAAUAAAACUCAAGAACUGUCUCAGUACUUUUAAUUUUCUUUUUUGUUGUUGUUUAAACUAGGAGUUAUUUCUCUCUGAGGUUCUUUGGAAGUGUGUUAGUUUAAUUGUUUGAAAAGAAACCUUAAUCUUGCACAACACUUUCAGCAAGCAAGCAAGGAGGAUUGGGAAAAGCUGAAGCAGAAGGACUGAUGUUAUUUGCAGAAAAUGCUGAGCUGUGCUCAGCACUUGAAGCUCAGCCUCCGUUGCUACCACGUUUACAAAUGGCCUGGUGGGGCAGGGAGGUCCCACUGCCAACGCCCUGAUUUACUGCCCUGGCUCAGAUCUCCCUGUCCCCAUUGAGGAGAUGUGUUGAACAGGUUAUUUCAGUUCUUUUCUCUCUGCUGUUGUCCCUGGCACAGGUCCCAGAGCAGCACUGUCAGGACCAACUGCUUGGACUGUCUGGAUAGGACCAACAGUGUGCAGACCUUCUUGGGCUUGGAGGUGGGAACCCCAUGGAGCUCCUGCUGGGCACUGGGCUGGGAAAGUAGUGCCACCUUCCUGGGAAGGGCAGUGAACUUCUCGCAGGAAAAUGAAGUGUUAGUGCUGAAGUGCAUGUGUGAUGCAGCCUUUCAAGCACGACCUGGUGAGCGUUUGCUCAGAACGGUUCAUAUAAACCCCAGGUUUGUGGGGUUUUAUGCAUAUAUGCUGAAAAACAGGAUGUGCCUUUUAAGAAAACUAUUUUCACUGGGGGUUUUUUCUUUAUUUGCUUUUGGUUUGGUAUGUUUGGGUUUUUGCUCAUGCUGUCUUUACCUGUUACAGAUGCUAAUAAAACAGCAGGAGGUAUUAGGAUUAGCUGAGAAGCCUCAGUUAGUUGAAUGAAUUUGCACUUUAUGUUAUCCAUGCAUCUGGAGGUAAGGCAGCCACUGCUGCCUGAUCACUUAAUCUCUGAUCAUUCUCUGUGUGUGUGGAAUGUGUCCCUUGGAGUAACAGGACUCGUCCCAGACUUCUGUCUUGUUUGGGCACUGUGUGUGGGGUGUGGCAUUUGGGCCUGUAAGGGACCCUUCAGAGAUGUUUCCUCUGGAGAGGAAAAGCUCUAAUUGUUUUGUGGGCCCUUUCAGCUGACAGCUUUGGAUUGCAUAUGCUGAGUUCAAAGUACUCAUUGUUCAGUGGAAGAAGUUUACUUCAAUAGCAGAUUACUCUUCCUUUUACAGGAAAAGGGAGAUUUGAUCUUUAUUAAUGAGAACAUGUGCUAGAAUAGGAGGGAACUGAGGAGAAGGUACUUGAAAUGGCACAAUAUUAGGGACCUGUAAGGUAUCUGGUGAUCACACUUGAGUCAGUGUGGGAUGUGUGUCAGGAAAAAAGGCUCAGGACUGCAGGAGGUAGACAGAGCCCCUGUGGGGUGUUCCAUGUUCUGUGACAUUGCUUAUAAAUUGCAGAAAAGAAGUAACUGAGGAGUGGAGAUGUUCUCUUGCUGCACAGGCUGCUGCAGGAGCCCUCUGAGAAGAUUGCCAAGUUCUUUCUCAUGGAUGGGGAUGUGGAAGAGAUCAGCAGUGAUGUUGCUCAGUACAUUUCAUUUCAUCUUCCCUUUUUCGAGUUGAUUCUGCACAGAAUAAAUGAAGAGAAGAGGCAGGAGAUUAAACAGGCAAAGUCAAGAUAAACAGACAGAAAAUGAGGUGUCCCAGAGUCCAGGGCGAUCUGCACAACUGUGGUCUGGCUCAUGAGGAGAACAUACAGAUAUGCAGAGUGCAGCUGGGCCUUUCUCCAUCUCUGCCAGCGGACUCUUCUGCAGCUUGGAAGGGCAGCAUGUGCGUCGUGGCUCCAGCUCUGCAGCCGUUCAGCUCCCGCCCUAGAGCCUCGAAGCCACCCCACAGUGAGUAUACCAGCCCCAGAGAGAUUUCCCCUAUGGUCCUUAUGCCAGCUCCAGAGCCACUAGGCCACCCCACAGGGGUUUCACCUUGGGUGACACAGUCCCUUUCUGAGUGUGAGGUUUCCUUGCCGGUCCCACUCACAAUGCCAGCACCACUUUGCAUUUUCCAGCCGCACGCACACUGACUUCUAUCUCCAGCCCCUACUGCGACCCUCGCCCACCCAUGCCACCUCAAAAUUCCCCACUUACCCUCCAAAACUCCCAAAAAAUCCCAAUCUUUCCAAAAUUUGCCCAAAAAUCCCCAA